This 995-nucleotide unclassified non-coding RNA is filed under the name Primulina sp. 15 JT-2014. RNAcentral describes it as "partial 166FR". The record is from RNAcentral. Lineage: Eukaryota; Viridiplantae; Streptophyta; Magnoliopsida; Lamiales; Gesneriaceae.
UUUCUUCCUUAUUACACUAUAUCUUUUUAUGCUUGUAGUUUACCAUCUUGGUCAUUUCAUAUAUGCCGUUAUUUGUAAGCAUUUAUCUUGCUUUGGAUUGAGGGUUCGGGCUAGAAUUUUAUUUGGCGGCUUCUGACCUGUAACUUCUCCUAUUAUUUUUUUACUUUGAAAUGCUUUCAAACAAUUUGACCUGUGAGCUAUAAAUUAAUCGCCUUUUUUCGUUCUGGGUCUGAUUACUAAGCCGGGAGGGAAAAUGAAGAAAGAAUCUCAGCAACUAUUAAACUCAUUUUUACUAAUGCUUCUGUUGGUACAGCCAGAGAGGAACUCAAACAUUGUCUCCCGAUCUAUUAUUUUAAGAUGGGAUUGAACUGCUAGGACAAUUUGAAUGAUUACGUUCAUCAUUCAAAUGGUAAAAUUCCAUUGCAAAAUGCAGAGCCUAAUUCUAGAAUGCUGUACUUAAUAUUUUCCAAUAAAUGUUGUAUUUCAAAUUUUAGAUUUGAUUAAAAAUAAGGAGUAACCACCACCCUCUUGUUAGAGUUUAAAUGUGAGGUGUGAGAAAGUAAUAAAAAAUUGUGGAAUAAAACUGUUGUGUGGAUAAAUGGUGCAUAAGAUCUUGUGAGGUGCUUGCUUUAGCAGUAUUAUGCUGCAAAUUUAUUGUAUUUGAUAACUUGUAUCAUUGAAUCAGCAUGUUCAAGCUAAUGCUCAUUCCGAGCGAAUGUUCACUUCUCUCAUUUAAUGUGGAAUUAGGGUUUCAAAAUAGAAUGAAAUAUCUUCAGUUUUUCUAAGUGGUAAUUUGGGCUUGGGUGCAGUUGAGUUUGAGCGAGUAGCAGGACACACAUCAAAAGUAAAAGUGCACACAUAUGGCACACAGUUUGUUAUUACUGGAUUCAACUAUUUGUUUUUGUGCAACUGGUGCUGAAAUUUGUAUAUUUUGUUAUGUAUAAAGGUACAGGUUAUUUGGGCGAGCGACCCAGUUUCACAACGGAGGGAAGGAG